CCCGGAGUGGCGGAAUGGCAGACGCAUCAGACUCAAAAUCUGACAGGAUCUAUCCUAUGUGAGUUCAAGUCUCAUCUCCGGGACCA
This 86-nucleotide transfer RNA is filed under the name Mycoplasma bradburyae. RNAcentral describes it as "tRNA-Leu". It matches the Rfam family "tRNA". Rfam says of the family: Transfer RNA (tRNA) molecules are approximately 80 nucleotides in length. Their secondary structure includes four short double-helical elements and three loops (D, anti-codon, and T loops). The record is from RNAcentral. Lineage: Bacteria; Bacillati; Mycoplasmatota; Mollicutes; Mycoplasmatales; Mycoplasmataceae.